Hyalella azteca is the source of this 1655-nucleotide long non-coding RNA. RefSeq lists it as uncharacterized. The transcript is spliced from 2 exons. NCBI's taxonomy places the organism in Eukaryota, Metazoa, Arthropoda, Malacostraca, Amphipoda, Hyalellidae. The record is from RefSeq and is a predicted model, not a curated record.
CUGCAGUAGGUAGUAGGUACAAGAAUCCACCGCUGCAGUGCCAAUCCACACGCUAACCAAGCUGUCCAACACUCCUCCCUGGCCGCGCCCUUGUUGCUGACCCCCGACCCAGAAACCUGUUUUGAAAUCAUGGCCACUGCAGAGCUCGCACUGGAGAUCAUCAACAGAAACGUGAAAUGCAUUUCAUCCUACAUCUUCCAGACUGGAGAAUUUAACAAGCAUUAUGCCAUUAAAUGGUUUUGCGGCCUUGAGGCACGAUUUUAUUUGACUAAAGUGACUGACUCUUCCACAAAGUUCCUCUUUCUUCUCUGUGCACUACCACAAAAGGUUUUAAAUGAAGUUACUUCAGCUUCUUUAGAGUCCGAAGACUAUGAUAGAUUGAAAUCUGAACUCAUAGCAUCAUAUGCUAAAUCCAAACUAGAACAAUUUGAUCAUUUAGUCUUGAAACAAAAUAAAAUUUGCAGAAAGCCUUCAGUUUUCCAGCAGGACAAUAAUUGCAUAGCUCGUUCACUAGGCUUAGACAAAGAAUUUACUAAGGAAAAGUUCAGGGAACUCAUGUUUGGCAGAAUCCGUUUAUCGCUUUUCGGCCAAUAUGGUGAUUUGCUUGAUGAAAUGGCUGCAAUUGCCAAUACCUUGUCGUCAUCUAGAUUACAGGAACCUGAUGUUCAUCAGACUGCUAACAAUAAUGGAAUACAACAGGGCAUUGUUGGGACGAAUGAUAGUGCUCCUGUUGGCCCUGUCAAUUGUACUACCGGCACUGUGUUUGCUACUAUUGAUCAUUCAAGCGAGGCUCUGCCUAUAGGUCUUCGUCCGUUUCAUGCCGGUCAACUUCCGAAAGUUUGUCGAUAUCACAUUUUUUUUGGCGAUAAAGCCAAGUUUUGUAAACCAUGGUGCAUGAUUGCAAAUUGGAAUUCUUCCGCAAAAAUUCUACCUAGUUCACGGCCCUCUUCUCGUUCAAGCUCUCCCUCUUCUCGCUCAAGCUCUCGCCGAUAUUAUUUCAAUUUGCCGUCCCGUUAAUAUUGUUCUCAUUUUUCCCAUGUGGGUGACUCAUUGUGCCACCUGACAACUGUUUACUGGUUAUGCUAUUCGGCAUAGAAGCGCUCUUGUUUGACUAACAGCUACAUUAAUUUUAUCCUAUUGCAGUUAAGAUAAGAUUUGACCUAAGGUAGUAGAAUGUAAGAAGCGUUUCAUGGAAAAAUGACACUCAGAAAUCAUGUAUCAACAUAUAGGUUACUCGCACAUUGAAUACUGUAAUGUUAGUUCUGUAGUUGUUAGCAAAUAUAAGAUAACUAAUGAUGAAAAUGAUUAGACAGAUGCUGAAUCUUGAAGCUAUGAGGAUCCAUUUUAGUUUCUAAUUAAGGAUAUGUCGUAAUAUUAAGAGUAUAAUUACUUAAGUGUAACCGGUAACGUGUCAGAAAAUUAAAUUUUCAUUAGCUGUGCAAAUUUCUGUAUAACUUUCAUUGAGUGUAAUUUUUUGAAAGCUCUAAAAAUGAAGGCAUUGCCGUGAGCCACCAGUCCGAAUUCUUCAGUUGCCCCCUGGUGGUGAAACUCAGCCAUAGUGUGCAAAAGUUGCACUCGUCCUUAGGACCUAUAAGCCAAGUAGGUAUAAACCUGCCGUGUUCCGCACUGGACUGACCUAAUCGUGUUUUAUUUUU